AGAGGAAGAAGCGGCGAAGUUCGCCAAACAGUGUGCCGCCCGAUUAGCUUCCCUACGGGCAUGGCGAAAAUCUAAAACAAGGUGAUGGCGCGCAUGAGAGAAAACCUCAAAGGCUCGUCGCAAAGGGAUCCGAACCAGCCGAGUCUUCGUGAACAACAUGCACAGCAAGNUUCGCAUCUUCGGAUUGCAGCUGUGGCUUCAUUUUAGAAUAUAAGAAACACAAUAGAUGAAACGUGACUAUGCAUAUUUAUAAAUGUUCUAAAUAGUCAUUUUCAAGUGAAAAACAAAUUAAUAUAUAUAAUUUAUUUAAGAUAAUAAUUAUGAUUAUAUAUAUAUACUCGAUAAGUCACCUAAGCUUUCUGAGGAUGAUUUCUUCAAUUUCCUUAUUUUCUCUCUAUCUUUAAUUUUAUAUUAUUGAUUUUUUUUUUGAGAGAAAACGCACAAUUAUAUUAAGUCACGAGACGCAAUAUCUGAAAGCCAAGCCGGGAAGCUCGACUUCCAGAUCAUUACACCAGAGGAAGAAGCGGCGAAGUUCGCCAAACAGUGUGCCGCCCGAUUAGCUUCCCUACGGGCAUGGCGAAAAUCUAAAACAAGGUGAUGACGCGCAUGAGAGAAAACCUCAAAGAGCUCGUCGCAAAGGGAAUCCGAACCAGCCGAGUCUUCGUGAACAACAUGCACAGCAAGAAGGGAGUCUGUGAACACCAACAACGGUCCGAUCUGGUUCUCCAAACAAAAACCAAUCCCGAGCAACAUCGCGUGAAGCUCGCCCAUCAGAACAGUUUCCGUCCUUCCCACUCGGUGAGC
RNAcentral lists this long non-coding RNA (804 nucleotides) under Salvia miltiorrhiza (redroot sage). RNAcentral's name for it is "long non-coding RNA (SMIL_LNC010400)". Lineage: Eukaryota; Viridiplantae; Streptophyta; Magnoliopsida; Lamiales; Lamiaceae. The record is from RNAcentral.